AAUGAUAAGGGAGGGGGUAAUUUGAAUAUUUAAAGGAGCUCUUUCACAGAAAAAGCGUGUGUGUUGGUUUCUGAGCGGAGGGAGAACAAACGCCAACAAUCAAGUGGAUAAAGUUAUCUCCAUCGGCUGUUGGAAAUAAAUAUUCUCAAAGCAGUCGGUCCUCGCGUCUGAGUCUCAUCAAGUACUGAGCAAAACAACAACAACAAAAGCAAGUCUUUAAAAAUCAAUAGGACAAACAAAAGCCAACAGCCGUUCAAUUUAUAAACCCAUCUGUCCAAUUUUUCUUAUCUUUUCUUUUAUUAUUACAGGGAUCACAACGGGAAAGCAAAGGGAUUAUUGAAGAGACCCCAACAUCUGAAGCUUUGAUUGGGCCUCCAAAUUGCUGCUGUACUUGUACCAUCUCUAGCAGAGGGAAGAGAUCUGCACUCUCAGCUGAAGUCUACUGGGUGUCCUAUAGUCCACCAUCCUGCACGGCACUAGAAGAGAUUUCGGUAAAGAUGUUUGCACAGCUGUUCACACACAGCGAAUAAUUCUCAGGAAUUCUGCAGUUGAUUGAAUUCCAGGGAUAAAUAGCAUAACCCUUCAACAAAAUGGGUAA
RNAcentral lists this long non-coding RNA (598 nucleotides) under Chrysemys picta bellii (western painted turtle). RNAcentral describes it as "lncRNA (ENSCPBG00000020505.1)". Lineage: Eukaryota; Metazoa; Chordata; Testudines; Emydidae. The record is from RNAcentral.